This 355-nucleotide ribosomal RNA is filed under the name Basileunculus sp. Jeff Skevington 17048. RNAcentral's name for it is "partial 12S ribosomal RNA". Lineage: Eukaryota; Metazoa; Arthropoda; Insecta; Diptera; Pipunculidae. The record is from RNAcentral.
UAUAUUUUACAUUUAAUAUAUUGAAUUAGUAUUAGUUAGGAUCUUGAAAUUUAAAAAAUUUGGCGGUAUUUUAGUCUAUUCAGAGGAACCUGUAUUUUAAUCGAUAGUCCACGUUGUAUCUUACUUAAUUUGUAUAAUAAGUUUAUAUAUCGUUGUUUAUUGGAGAUUUUAUGAGAAAAAUAAUUUUCUAAAGAUUAUAUUAAAUAGUAUGUCAGAUCAAGAUGUAGCUUAUGGUUGAGGGAAGAAUGGGUUACAUUUAUAAUAUUAUUGGAUAUUAAUUUUAUAUUAUUUAUUGAAAUUGGAUUUGAUAGUAAAUUUAUAUAGAUAGAUAUAUUGAUUUUAGCUCUAAAAUAUG